CGCGUGAGUGAAGAAGGCCUUCGGUUGUAAAGCUCUUUCAGACGGAAAGAAAUCGCAUCCUCUAAUACGGGGUGUGGAUGACGGUACCGUAAGAAGAAGCACCGGCUAACUACGUGCCAGCAGCCGCGGUAAUACGUAGGGUGCGAGCGUUAAUCGGAAUUACUGGGCGUAAAGCGUGCGCAGGCGGUGAUGUAAGACAGAUGUGAAAUCCCCGGGCUCAACCUGGGAACUGCGUUUGUGACUGCAUCACUCGAGUACGGCAGAGGGAGGUGGAAUUCCACGUGUAGCAGUGAAAUGCGUAGAGAUGUGGAGGAACACCGAUGGCGAAGGCAGCCUCCUGGGCCAGUACUGACGCUCAUGCACGAAAGCGUGGGGAGCAAACAGGAUUAGAUACCCUGGUAGUCCACGCCCUAAACGAUGUCAACUAGUUGUUCGGUGAGGAGACUCAUUGAGUAACGCAGCUAACGCGUGAAGUUGACCGCCUGGGGA
RNAcentral lists this ribosomal RNA (489 nucleotides) under uncultured bacterium. RNAcentral's name for it is "bacterial SSU rRNA". It matches the Rfam family "Bacterial small subunit ribosomal RNA", at positions 398 to 879 of the family's 1533-position model. The record is from RNAcentral.